GGCGGUGUAGCUCAGGUGGCCAGAGCAAGCGGCUCAUAUCCGCUGCGUCGGGGGUUCGAGUCCCUCCACCGCUA
RNAcentral lists this transfer RNA (74 nucleotides) under Spirochaetota bacterium. RNAcentral describes it as "Spirochaetes bacterium (freshwater sediment metagenome) tRNA-Met". It matches the Rfam family "tRNA". From Rfam's summary of the family: Transfer RNA (tRNA) molecules are approximately 80 nucleotides in length. Their secondary structure includes four short double-helical elements and three loops (D, anti-codon, and T loops). Lineage: Bacteria; Pseudomonadati; Spirochaetota. The record is from RNAcentral.